AGUGAACGCUGGCGGUAGGCCUAACACAUGCAAGUCGAACGGCAGCACAGUAAGAGCUUGCUCUUACGGGUGGCGAGUGGCGGACGGGUGAGGAAUACAUCGGAAUCUACUUUUUCGUGGGGGAUAACGUAGGGAAACUUACGCUAAUACCGCAUACGACCUACGGGUGAAAGCAGGGGAUCUUCGGACCUUGCGCGAUUGAAUGAGCCGAUGUCGGAUUAGCUAGUUGGCGGGGUAAAGGCCCACCAAGGCGACGAUCCGUAGCUGGUCUGAGAGGAUGAUCAGCCACAUUGGAACUGAGACACGGUCCAGACUCCUACGGGAGGCAGCAGUGGGGAAUAUUGGACAAUGGGCGCAAGCCUGAUCCAGCCAUACCGCGUGGGUGAAGAAGGCCUUCGGGUUGUAAAGCCCUUUUGUCGGGAAAGAAAAGCAGCAGGUUAAUACCCCGCUGUUCUGACGGUACCCAAAGAAUAAGCACCGGCUAACUUCGUG
RNAcentral lists this ribosomal RNA (492 nucleotides) under uncultured bacterium. Its description in RNAcentral is "partial 16S ribosomal RNA". It matches the Rfam family "Bacterial small subunit ribosomal RNA", at positions 29 to 507 of the family's 1533-position model. The record is from RNAcentral.